AGGUUACUGCUAUCGGUGUUCGCCUAAGCCAUGCGAGUCAUAUGUUCUUCGUGAACAUGGCGUACUGCUCAGUAACACGUGGAUAACCUGCCCUUGGGUCCGGCAUAACCCCGGGAAACUGGGGAUAAUUCCGGAUAACGCACAUAUGCUGGAAUGCUUUAUGCGUCAAAUGGAUUCGUCCGCCCAAGGAUGGGUCUGCGGCCUAUCAGGUAGUAGUGGGUGUAAUGUACCUACUAGCCUACGACGGGUACGGGUCGUGAGAGCAAGAGCCCGGAGAUGGAUUCUGAGACAUGAAUCCAGGCCCUACGGGGCGCAGCAGGCGCGAAAACUUUACAAUGCGGGAAACCGUGAUAAGGGGACACCGAGUGCCAGCAUCAUAUGCUGGCUGUCCGGGUGUGUAAAAUACACCUGUUAGCAAGGGCCGGGCAAGACCGGUGCCAGCCGCCGCGGUAACACCGGCGGCCCGAGUGGUGAUCGUGAUUAUUGGGUCUAAAGGGUCCGUAGCCGGUUUGGUCAGUCCUCCGGGAAAUCUGACGGCUUAACCGUUAGGCUUUCGGGGGAUACUGCCAGACUUGGAACCGGGAGAGGUAAGAGGUACUACAGGGGUAGGAGUGAAAUCUUGUAAUCCCUGUGGGACCACCUGUGGCGAAGGCGUCUUACCAGAACGGGUUCGACGGUGAGGGACGAAAGCUGGGGGCACGAACCGGAUUAGAUACCCGGGUAGUCCCAGCCGUAAACGAUGCUCGCUAGGUGUCAGGCAUGGCGCGACCGUGUCUGGUGCCGCAGGGAAGCCGUGAAGCGAGCCACCUGGGAAGUACGGCCGCAAGGCUGAAACUUAA
RNAcentral lists this ribosomal RNA (839 nucleotides) under uncultured archaeon. RNAcentral describes it as "bacterial SSU rRNA". It matches the Rfam family "Archaeal small subunit ribosomal RNA", at positions 21 to 859 of the family's 1478-position model. The record is from RNAcentral.